RNAcentral lists this unclassified non-coding RNA (520 nucleotides) under Hevea brasiliensis (rubber tree). The record is from RNAcentral. Lineage: Eukaryota; Viridiplantae; Streptophyta; Magnoliopsida; Malpighiales; Euphorbiaceae.
GGAAAACAUAUCCUGCUUGGAGUUGAUGGUCAACAGAAGGAAGAUGCUUCCCACAGGAAUUUCCUUGAAAAUUUGGAGCUAAUGAAGCCGGAGUUUGUGUCAGAUGAUGAUGAUGAUAACUUGCUUAAUGAAAAUUAUCAACUCCAACACAACAUUUUUGAGAAGAAAAGGUUAAAUCACGAGGGAUGUAGUGAUUUGGUGGAGGCAGUAACCAAGAAGCAGAAGAUUGUUGCUGCUGAGCACUACGAGGAGAUGGCUGGCAAGAAGCAAGAUUUGAUUGAUGAUACAGAUUUUCUGAGUCAGGAACUGGAUAGAGUGAGGGAUACUGUCACUAAGGGUGAGGAUGCUCAGUUGCCGAAGGAUGAAAUAAGGAUGCUGCUGGAAGAGGUGAAAUAUCUACAACACUGUCGCGAUGCAACAGGAAAGGAGAACAAGAACGACGAGAAGUUUCAAAAGACUGUCAUUAACCCUUUGAAUCUUUUGAUGAAUAAUGUGGCUACUAAGGAUCACAAAGUCACAG